AGGCUUAUCAACAUUGCAAGCUGUGCUGGAUUCUGCUGCUGAAAAGAAAUGGCAAGUGACUGCUAUCAAUGUAGGAAAUAUUAACAAUGACAGAAAAGAUGAAACUUACCGUUCACUGUUUCAAGAUCUAGAGGUAAAAAAAGAAAGGCGAGUGAUUUUGGACUGUGAGCGCGAUAAAGUCAACGACAUUGUUGAUCAGGUUAUCACAAUUGGUAAACAUGUUAAAGGAUACCAUUAUAUCAUUGCAAAUCUGGGAUUUACUGAUGGAGAUUUAUCAAAAAUUCAGUUCGGAGGAGCUAACGUCUCAGGAUUUCAGAUAGUUGACUAUGAUGAUCCUCUGGUGUCAAAAUUUAUACAACGUUGGUCAACACUGGAGGAAAAAGAAUAUCCCGGUGCACACACUAGUACAAUUAAGGUAU
Molecule: non-coding RNA, 419 nt
Organism: Pelecanus crispus (Dalmatian pelican)
Lineage: Eukaryota; Metazoa; Chordata; Aves; Pelecaniformes; Pelecanidae
Source: RefSeq, a predicted model, not a curated record